This 204-nucleotide long non-coding RNA is filed under the name Lathyrus oleraceus (garden pea). RNAcentral's name for it is "Pisum sativum (pea) long non-coding RNA (PSAT_LNC011700)". Lineage: Eukaryota; Viridiplantae; Streptophyta; Magnoliopsida; Fabales; Fabaceae. The record is from RNAcentral.
AAAAAGGGACAGAGAAGGUAUCGAUAAUUCACAAAAUACAUACCAUAAAAUUUCUAUCGGCACCUAUUCGUAAAAGGGGAAGAUCAGUUCAAAGACAAAAGAAAAAGGAAGAAGGAAAAGAUCGAAUCAAACACAUAAGAAGGGAGAGAGUUCAAAGGCUUAAUAAUUUGGUUCACCGGGAUAUACCUCGAUCCCGUAGGUUGG